RNAcentral lists this ribosomal RNA (215 nucleotides) under Klebsiella pneumoniae. Its description in RNAcentral is "partial 16S ribosomal RNA". It matches the Rfam family "Bacterial small subunit ribosomal RNA", at positions 356 to 563 of the family's 1533-position model. Lineage: Bacteria; Pseudomonadati; Pseudomonadota; Gammaproteobacteria; Enterobacterales; Enterobacteriaceae. The record is from RNAcentral.
GGGGAAUAUUGCACAAUGGGCGCAAGCCUGAUGCAGCCAUGCCGCGUGUGUGAAGAAGGCCUUCGGGUUGUAAAGCACUUUCAGCGGGGAGGAAGGCGGUGAGGUUAAUAACCUCAUCGAUUGACGUUACCCGCAGAAGAAGCACCGGCUAACUCCGUGCCAGCAGCCGCGGUAAUACGGAGGGUGCAAGCGUUAAUCGGAAUUACUGGGCGUAA